This 392-nucleotide ribosomal RNA is filed under the name uncultured bacterium. RNAcentral describes it as "bacterial SSU rRNA". It matches the Rfam family "Bacterial small subunit ribosomal RNA", at positions 28 to 414 of the family's 1533-position model. The record is from RNAcentral.
GACGAACGCUGGCGGCGUGCUUAACACAUGCAAGUGGAGCGACGAACCAGGGCUUGCCCUGGGGCAAAGCCGCGAACGGGUGAGUAACACGUGGGUAACCUGCCCCGAUGACCGGGACAACCCGAGGAAACUCGGGCUAAUACCGGAUGAGCUCACGCCACAUCAGUGGCAUGAGGAAAGGAAGCUUCGGCCUCCGCAUUGGGAUGGGCCCGCGGCCCAUUAGCUUGUUGGUGGGGAAAGGCCUACCAAGGCUUCGAUGGGUAGCUGGUCUGAGAGGACGAUCAGCCACACUGGGACUGAGACACGGCCCAGACUCCUACGGGAGGCAGCAGUGGGGAAUCUUGCGCAAUGCGCGAAAGCGUGACGCAGCAACGCCGCGUGCGGGAAGACGG